CCUGCAUGACCACCUGCGUCACCACCCCAUCGCUUCUGAGCCACUGUGCCAUAUCUGCGUACAAUGAUUUCAUAAUUAAUUAGUAUUCUGCUAAGAUGUUUAUACAUAUAGCACAAGCUUUGGGACGUACGGUAUUUGCUGCUGAGACUUCUGCUGUUGCAGCUGAUUCUGGUCCAAUGCCUUGCUCGCCACCAGAGCGACUUGCAGUAGCACCGCUAGUGCAGCCUGUAAACAAGAUAAUUACAUGGAUAUGAAAUUUCACCGAUCGUAUCGUCUUAAUGGACAUUUGAACUGUGCAACUUGGCGUGUUCGUUCUAUUUAGGUAAGCACUUGGCUCAUAGAGAAAUCUCUUCUUUUUUUCACGAUAACAUUCUCGAUGUUACUCUUAACAGUUAUUCGUUUAUGGAAUCACUUUCGAAACUAGCCGUCGAUAACCAAGCAAACACGUUCAUUGAUGAGCAGUGAUCAGCAUUUUACAGUUUCGCCUUUGAUGUUCUCGAUUCCUUUGAUGCUUGUUGAAGAAAUUAUUGUAUCAAGAAAAGAAUAUACAUUUAUAAAGAUGAUCUAUUCUGAAAACAAUUCUGUAUUCGGCAAGGUACCGUUACGUUUCCUGAAAUAACAAGGUAAUACAAAUUAAAUAAUUCUAAAACGUAAAUUAAACUAUGAUUUAAAUUAACCAACACAUUCGCAUUACAAUCUACAUUACAGAAUUGAAGUUGCAUCAACCCCCUGAACAAAAUGUGUCUGGAGCAUUCAGUGUUCAUCCAAUCGGUAAAUGGUAAUCGGUAUUUAUCUUUAAAUAAUCUCAAACACGACAUUCUUGACAAUCGGUUGAUCACCAUUCGUCGAUCGUGACACUCACUACUUACUCCAGAUACGAUGAUCGUUCGAUGCAUCACCGUUUCUAACCGAACGCACCCCCUUUUUAGUAGUAUCGUUGAAGAACAAUCAAACGGUCGUAGCGGUGCUUACGAUCGUCACCAGGUUUAUAUUAGAGUAUAACUGAGACUUAUUUAAAUAGAAACUGACCGCGCAUCCCGGGCGAAUCCUCAUAUUUUCUCGCAAUACCGCCCGUCGGGCUCGGGCUGCGUACUCUUGUUCCCUAAGUGCAGGAAAACGUAAGUUACUUCGCCCAAUCAGCGGAACGCCGUAGUUAUAUAGGCGCGUAUUCCUCCCCCAGUGCUAUCGUGGUGUGCUGGGCCAGAUACUGCGAAGGUGGUGGUAAAGUCGUCCUGGUGGAGGAGGUAGUUCGCAUAGUUGGAGGAAAGGAAGUCGCGAUGGUGGUGGGUCCCAACGGACUCGCGUUUCGAAAAGCUCGUACCUUGGAUAGCGAUGGGGCCGAUCUUGUUUAUUGUGCAAAAAGACUUUUACUUUUAUUUCGCUCUUUAACUUAUAUUAUCCUUUUAUUUUCAGAUCUUUGCCUGUCUGUCGGUGAUCUUGAGAUGAAUGUAUGCAACAGUACACUCGUGUCUUCUCCCUGAAUUCUGAAUCCAAGUGUUGAACUCCCAUGAGAUUAAUUGAAUACUUUCCAUCGUAUCAAGAGAAAAUUGAACCCAUCGCUACGUCCGUUCUCCUUCUUCCUUGCUGUUGUCCACCUCCUACGAACCUGGCGAUCUUACUUGAUAGCACGGUUGCCCAUCGUUCCGGAGAAAGUGAUCGGGAACACGAUGAUCCGGUCGAGCGAGUCAAGCGGUUUCGUUCUGUUGCUAUUUACACGGCUCUGUCCGGCAAAGGCGAAGUUCACGGGGAGGCAAGGUUAUGCGGCAAGGUUAUACCUGGUGAUCCAGAUUACCUGACGACGAGAGAGUGGUGGAAAGAGAUCGAGCGCGGUACCGUGGCGUUUGAUGAAUCCUUUUAUUUUUUCUUCUGUAGACGGUUUAAUCGAUUUCAGAAUGGCGCCGCCGCGCCGCGCCGGUCCUGUCCGGGUUUCUCUUCCGGGAAGGCCCCGGGGCUGGACCAUUGCCGCUUUUCCUUUCAUGUAUUCUGUCUUUGGUGAAGAUUGCCCUGAAGGGAGGAUCGGUGAAGAAAUGUUAGAGAUCGAGAGAUAGAAAUAGUAAAUGGUAAAAGUUCAUUGUCCCACAGGUGAAUUUCACUUUGCUUUCAAAAGGGUCAUUCUUCUCCUGGGGAUGUCAGGAAUAACAAAUUUGACAUUUCAUAUAAUUAAAGUAUUAUUGUAUUUUUUAUUUGGAACAGUAAUACCUAUAUAAGCUGCAUUAGAUACGUGAAGUAUGCAUAAUUAUAAUAAAAGCGUGAAAAGUGUCGCCGUGGAAAAUCGGGAAGCUAAUUAUCGCUGCUAGACACAAUCUUCUUCCCCUUCGCGAUGAAUGAUUAUAAGCUUCCAGAGUUCGCACGAUUUCUAUCGAUUCCUCUUUCAUUAAUUAGGCAUUCAAACAUUAACUUUCGACUCGAAAUCUUACAGUUUUAUUGCUCGUUAAGUGAUUUAAUCCCAGUCGACAAAGCUACAUCGUGUUUAUAAUCAGCUUACAUAAUUCAAUGUUUUUAUCAAGGUCGUUAAAAGUUUGUCACGAUAUGUAAAGAAGAUAUACAUGUUCUUUUUUUUAGGAGAAUCAGGGGUCCCCCGGAAGAUUCUUCAUUCCGUGUUAUGACCGAUAAGUUUUCGCAAGAUUGAAUCUUCUUAAAAAGAACAGCACCCAUCGUAUUCUGACGAGACCGUGUUGCGUUUUAUUUGAAAAGCUCAUAAUCACGAAUACCUGCACGGGUGAAAGUACAUACCGAAGCUGAAAGGAAGAAAAUUUAUAACGUAAAAGCAACGAGUAUGCCAUCCAAGGAAUUACGAGGCAAAUUUUACGGAGGCGAGCAAUUACGAGAUACAGCUGAACCCUAGAACUACCACCUUUGGAGGAUGAAACAUAAUCGGCCAUAUAUUUCAGCAGAAGAACCUUCAUGAAUUUUGAAGUACUGUGACGAGUCACUCGGCUCGAUUUGCUAACAAGCUGAAAGCGAUAAGUGGUUAAAUUCGCACGAGAUACAUCGUCAUUGUAUAUGUAUUCGUCGAAUGAAAGCGAAUUCCUUUACUCUACGAUAGAGAGCCAGACAACUGGGAGUACAUGAAAUUGCUAGGAUCCAUUCCAGUACUUAUUGAAGAUGUUUAACAGGAUGCAGGUGUCGAAUCGGCGGACCAACCCUAGAAAUUUCUAAGUGUGAUUUACAGGAAGAGGAAACGUUAUAGCUAGUGGUAACGCGUGGGCAGAAGUAGAAGAACGGCGUUUGAAACAUUCCAAAGACGCGAUAGUAAAUAGAAGAGCAUGUAUUUGAGAAAUUUUUAUUUGCACUCCAAGUGUCAGGUUUAUGGACGAGUACCUACGAUUCACUUUCUAAACGUCCGUCCCUCAAGGUAGCCGACGAUAUCGCUUUUCGAAAUGUCUAGCUGUUCGAUAUUUGGGUUACGUUCGACGACUUAACUUUCAUGGAAAACAAACAAUUGCGACAGUUUCUUAGAAAACUUCAGUUCCAUUGUUAACUGUGUCAUCUAUAUUUUUUUAAGGAAGCUGGCAAUAUCAUAAUUUUCAUUUAAAAAAAUAAUUUCUGUAAUGAAUUUAAAUUUUGAAGCUGCUCAACAUUUCUUCUUUCUAGAAUGAAGCAUCACUCUGCACUUAUUGUCAGUCAUCUCGAAGGAAUGUCAUUCCACUUUUCCUGUGCAUCAAUUCUCUUGAAACCAUGUUUUUGCGUGUCUCACCGAAGUCAUGGAUAAUCAGUUUAAAUCUUUACACAAAUUUCACCGUCGUCGCGUCUGUGAUUUCUUCUUCUCGCUCGCCGUGCCCCUAUCUCGAACAACCCACAAUACAAUCCGUCGAGAGAACGAGCGACUCACAGCGUAUAGAAGAAAGUUUUAUCCUUCCUAUUUUACGCACGAUACAUAUCUUUCGGGUCUACGGUUUCUUCUUACUUCGCGAUCAUAACAUUUUGCUUUCUACCAUUAAAUGAAAAAUGCGAAGAAUCGUAAAUUAAAUCAUCUUCAAUUAUCUCCUGGAAAGGAUAGAAACGCAUCUAGGAUUCAAUUGAUAUUUACGAAGACGUAGCCGCAGAAGAAUAUUCUUCAGGAUUCAAGAAUUAAUGAAAACGCGUUUCUCGCAGUUUGUACGCGCGUCUAACUUUUUCUUCGCAAAACCGAUUAGUUUCUUAUUAAUCCUCAGGGUACAAUUAUGUUCUUCUAUAUCGGAAACCUUUCAUUUGUCUUGGACUUUUUACGAGUGUAAUUUCGCGCCAGUGAAAGGCGUCGCGUCGGAGAUGAUUUCAUGCCGGGGCGGUCGAACACGCGCACGUUCACAUUGCCAUAUAAACAAACGGUUAUCGCGUUACCUAAUCGUUACUACUCGCCAUCCAUUGUCAAUUAGCACGUUGCCCAGUAUUUUCGCCAAUUAAAGCGACCGUGCGAAUCUAUUUCGUUGAAAUGGUCGACUUCAACGCCUCAGUUUCUUUUAUGAGCCACUGAGGAAAGGAUUAUAGAAAUUAUCUCGACAAGCGCUCCGUUAUUAAAGGAAUUAUUCUUAAUUCAAAACUUUCAUUAUCGUCUAAGUAUUUAAAAUGUAUUUAAAAAUUAUGUACUGAAAAAUUAUUAUUUAUUGAAUCGGAAUUUUUUUACAAAGACUGUAAAGCAAUAUUGAUUGUGUAUUUUUCUGUUUAGGAUGCACAAGAAAACCGGAUGCGUCGCUCUUAUAAGCUUCAGGAAACCACUGCAGAAUUGGAGGUUCCUUUUCUUCGCUGUGAGAUCUUAAAUUGAGAUUUCAAAACCAGAAUGAACAAAGAAACACGGGGAUCAGACAUAAAAUGUAAUUGUCAAGAGUGGCAUUGGAGAGUGUCAGAAUGCGCUAAUCGUCUAGCAAGCAGGAUCAACUUUCACAUAUUGUAACAACUUCAUGAAGUUCUCAACAAGCAGGAAACGUUAUUAUCUCAAGUGACAAGUGGUUUUAUUUUAAGCUAGAAUUUUUUCUAAAAAAACGUGAUACUACUAGAAAAAUGUUACACGUUACUCUUUAAAGGAGCAGGCAAUCAGGUAUAUUUGAAUAAAUCCACUUAGAUUUUCUCCACGCCAAAUCAGUGUCGCUAUUAAAUACCAUCUAAAUAAUCCCAUUAGUUUAUCGACAGAUGUCAAGUUGUUAAAAGUCAGGCGAGGGAUUACGAUGUCUUUUAUAGUUUCAUAGAGGAUCGAUAAAGUUUAUGCUUUGUCAGUGUAGAGUAACGUUAAGUGAAAAGAAGUUGAACUAUGCUUUUGACUUGGAGAACUUUGGCGCACGACAUACAUCAAUCAACGAAAACCAUUAAUCAUCCAUGUCGACUGUGAUACCAGUGAAACCAUGGAUAGUGGAAUCGAAAGGAAACGCGUGUCACGUAUCUCCGAGGUCAUCAGGUUCAAACGGCUACCCUCUUCCCAUGUGACUCGGUCUUCUCUUUCCUGGUUGUUGGUCACGAGACGAUUUCCACGACGGGAAAGUCACGGUCAUGUAACGCGGGGACAUCCUUUACCGCAUCGAAAGAGAAACAGAUGCACGAGAGCUGGCGGUUUUCGAUGAGCAAAACGAACCGAGCCUGCACACGCUUCCGCUGUAACGAACGAGUAGAGAGUAGAGGAUGCAGAGAAGACGAAACUACCAGGUCGAGAGUGAAACUUAACUGUUCGAUGCGGCAACGUGAUUGCACCCAAUUAAGAAACUCCUUGAAUCAACAGUUUUCGAACCGGUGUAUCAAGUUCCGUGAGAGGUUCAAGAGGCUUCCGCGAAAAUAUUCUUAAACUAAUUAACGAAAAAUGAAGACUCAAGUUCUCAGAAUGGCUAUUUAACUCGUUCUCUGAAGAGCAAAGGCUGUGAACAUCUGUUGAGAAAUAGAUGCAACUUGAAGGCUGGAAAAUCACGGCUGUUCUGAGGCUCUCUGUGUAGCUGUAACCAAGAUAUACACUUGCACCCACCACGCACGCACGCACGCAUCAGGAGUUUCACUCUUCAGCGAAGCCUGACGAUAGGAGCUUCUCUUCAAACUUGUUCGACGGUCAUUAUACGAUAAUUGCAUUUAACUUGGCUAACCAAGGUGCUGCUUCCACCUGUAGGUGGACGUUCGAAAGCGAUUUUCCUUAUCCGACGAGGGAAGCCUGGCGAAUCGAUGUUAACGUGAGAUCACGACGAAGAAAGUAGAGGAACGAUACUCGUUAUUAAGGUCGAAGUAAUGAGGAAGACUGCACUCGUCUUCGUGACCAACUUCUACUGCACUCUUGUGCUGUUGGUUUUUCUUAGACUUACACUAAUAUAAAUAGAGAAGACAAUGAAUAGAUGGAAAUUCAUUUCUGAAUUCAACACCAAUGAUUAUUAAAUAUGUAGCAAAGUGUUGAGAUACUAUAUUUCUUCAAUAGUAUCAAUUAUCUUGUAGAUCGUAGAUCCUAUGUUCAUUUGAUCACUAUACAUAUAGUUAAGAAUAGAAAUUGCCUAAUCGUACAGUAUUCAAGAACCAAUUCGAAUUAAUCGAUUCACCGAGGGCAAACACUUUUCCGAAUGAACCGCGUUUAAAAUUAAUACCACACUUUUUCUCUCGGCGAAACUUUCUUCUCAUCACGCCAAUCUCCCAUCGUUGAUUCACGAUGGAGAUUAUUAUUUACUGUGAACAUCAGAUGUUUGAUUCGUUAGGGCUAUCGUGAAAGGUUGCAUCAAUUGAUCACGUAUAAAGUUGCAUGGACGAUUGACGGGUUGUGCUACUUCCGGUGUCUCCAGGCAUUUGCUUCUUUCUCAUCCCACACGCUGUGUCGUGCAGGAGAACGGAGAAAGUAAAGGUCGUGGACGAGGUGAAUCGCGACCCCGAAGAUCCACGGAUGUGCUGGUUCCCUUGAAUCUCAUCUUAUCCCUAGAAAGCAUCUUCCUUCUUUCUUCUUGUUACCUCUCAGGCUCUCUUCGUUUCACGAUGUUUAUGUUAGAAAACCACGCUUUCAUCUAGCGCGAGAAAAUUAAUGUCUACUCGAGGAUUGUGUACUACUUGUCUCUGAAUGAAGUGUGACGG
Molecule: non-coding RNA, 6999 nt
Organism: Osmia lignaria (orchard mason bee)
Lineage: Eukaryota; Metazoa; Arthropoda; Insecta; Hymenoptera; Megachilidae
Source: RefSeq, a predicted model, not a curated record